This 495-nucleotide ribosomal RNA is filed under the name uncultured bacterium. RNAcentral describes it as "partial 16S ribosomal RNA". It matches the Rfam family "Bacterial small subunit ribosomal RNA", at positions 28 to 507 of the family's 1533-position model. The record is from RNAcentral.
GACGAACGCUGGCGGCGUGCCUAAUACAUGCAAGUAGAACGCUGAAGGAGGAGCUUGCUUCUCUGGAUGAGUUGCGAACGGGUGAGUAACGCGUAGGUAACCUGCCUGGUAGCGGGGGAUAACUAUUGGAAACGAUAGCUAAUACCGCAUAAUAGUAGAUGCUGCAUGACAUUUGCUUAAAAGGUGCAAUUGCAUCACUACCAGAUGGACCUGCGUUGUAUUAGCUAGUUGGUGGGGUAACGGCUCACCAAGGCGACGAUACAUAGCCGACCUGAGAGGGUGAUCGGCCACACUGGGACUGAGACACGGCCCAGACUCCUACGGGAGGCAGCAGUAGGGAAUCUUCGGCAAUGGACGGAAGUCUGACCGAGCAACGCCGCGUGAGUGAAGAAGGUUUUCGGAUCGUAAAGCUCUGUUGUAAGAGAAGAACGAGUGUGAGAGUGGAAAGUUCACACUGUGACGGUAUCUUACCAGAAAGGGACGGCUAACUACGUG